RNAcentral lists this ribosomal RNA (1407 nucleotides) under Triticum aestivum (bread wheat). RNAcentral's name for it is "partial small subunit ribosomal RNA". Lineage: Eukaryota; Viridiplantae; Streptophyta; Magnoliopsida; Poales; Poaceae. The record is from RNAcentral.
AUGGCGCACUGUCAUUUUCCUGCUGGUGUGAUUUUAAAAUUCGGCAACCAGGGAAAGCGCCACACGAGCAGCCGCCACCGGCCGGCCAGGCCACGCCAGCAGGCAGCAGCGCGUCCCUCCUCUCCUCGCCUACAAACAGCGACGACCGAGCGAGCGGUUCGACCCACCUGCCUCGUCUUCCGUCUCCUGCUUCUCUUCCUCCUCUCUCCCGCCCCGCGUGGAACCGACCGACCCGCACACGCACAAGGAGCGGCCGGCAUGGGGAGAAGGGAGGCGCUCGUGGUUCUCCUCGCGGUCGUCCUCGCGGCGGCGGCGGCCGGGGAGGCGGACGCUGCCAAGGCCAAGGGGAAGGCCAAGGGGAAGUACCGGGCGCUGUUCAACUUCGGGGACUCGCUGGCCGACGCCGGCAACCUCAUCGCCAACGGCGUGCCGGACAUCCUCGCCACCGCCAGGCUGCCCUACGGCCAGACCUACUUCGGCAAGCCCACCGGCCGCUGCUCCGACGGCCGCCUCGUCAUCGACCACCUGGCGCAGGAAUUCGGGCUGCCCCUGCUGCCGCCGUCCAAAGCCAAUCGCUCCGACUUAAGUCACGGUGCCAACUUCGCCAUCACCGGCGCCACCGCGCUCGACACGCCCUACUUCGAGGCCAGGGGCCUCGGCGCCGUCGUCUGGAACUCCGGCGCCCUCAUGACCCAAAUCCAGUGGUUCCGUGACCUCAAGCCUUUCUUCUGCAACUCCACCAAGGAAGAAUGCAAGGAGUUCUAUGCCAACUCGCUGUUCGUCGUCGGCGAGUUCGGUGGCAACGACUACAACGCGCCCCUGUUUGCCGGGAAGGGCCUCACAGAGGCGUACAAGUUCAUGCCGGAUGUCAUCCAGGGCAUCUCCGAUGGCGUCGAGGAAUUGAUCGCCGAGGGGGCAGUGGAUCUCAUCGUGCCAGGGGUGAUGCCCACUGGGUGCUUCCCCGUGUACCUGAACAUGCUCGACAUGCCAGCCCACGAGUAUGGCGCCCGGAGCGGGUGCAUCCGUCAGUACAACACCUUCUCAUGGGUGCACAACGCACACCUCAAGAGAGCACUCGAGAAGCUCCGGCCCAAGUACCCCAAUGUGCGGAUCAUAUAUGGCGACUACUACACGCCAGUUGUCCAGUUCAUGCUCCAGCCUGAGAAGUUUGGAUUCUACAAGCAGUUACCUAGGGCAUGCUGCGGGGCUCCUGGGUCCGUUGCCAAAGCCGCUUACAACUUCAACGUGACGGCCAAAUGCGGGGAGCCUGGUGCCACUGCUUGUGCUGACCCAACGACCCACUGGAGCUGGGACGGUAUUCACUUGACGGAGGCUGCUUACGGUCAUAUCGCCAGGGGUUGGCUAUAUGGCCCUUUCGCAGACCAACCGAUUGUUCAGUCCUCGUGA